AAUAUGGGUCAAUGGAGGCAACUCUGAACAAGCCAAAUCGCGUGAAGGAGGAAGGGCUUAUGGAUUGUAAACUUCUCUUGCAAGGGAAUAAAGUGGGGGACGUGUCUACCAUUGCAUGUACCUUGCGAAUAAGGAACGGCUAACUCCGUACAAGCAGCCGCGGUAAUACGGAGGAUCCGAGCGUUAUCCGGAUUUAUUGGGUUUAAAGGGUGCGCAGGCGGGAUGUUAAGUCGGCGGUGAAAUUUUGCAGCUCAACUGUAUAAGUGCCUUCGAUACUGGCUUUCUUGAGUGUGGAUGAAGUAGGCGAAAUUUGUGGUGUAGCGGUGAAAUGCUUAGAUAUCACGAGGAACUCCGAUUGCGCAGGCAGCUUACUAAACCACUACUGACGCUCAUGCACGAAGGCGUGGGGAUCAAACAGA
Molecule: ribosomal RNA, 419 nt
Filed under: uncultured bacterium
Lineage: Bacteria
Description: partial 16S ribosomal RNA
Rfam family: Bacterial small subunit ribosomal RNA
Source: RNAcentral